This 504-nucleotide ribosomal RNA is filed under the name Photobacterium sp. 5Bf3S261. Its description in RNAcentral is "bacterial SSU rRNA". It matches the Rfam family "Bacterial small subunit ribosomal RNA", at positions 380 to 877 of the family's 1533-position model. The record is from RNAcentral. Lineage: Bacteria; Pseudomonadati; Pseudomonadota; Gammaproteobacteria; Vibrionales; Vibrionaceae.
AGCCUGAUGCAGCCAUGCCGCGUGUGUGAAGAAGGCCUUAGGGUUGUAAAGCACUUUCAGUCAGGAGGAAAGGUUAGUAGUUAAUACCUGCUAGCUGUGACGUUACUGACAGAAGAAGCACCGGCUAACUCCGUGCCAGCAGCCGCGGUAAUACGGAGGGUGCGAGCGUUAAUCGGAAUUACUGGGCGUAAAGCGUACGCAGGCGGUUUGUUAAGCGAGAUGUGAAAGCCCCGGGCUUAACCUGGGAACUGCAUUUCGAACUGGCAAACUAGAGUGUGAUAGAGGGUGGUAGAAUUUCAGGUGUAGCGGUGAAAUGCGUAGAGAUCUGAAGGAAUACCGAUGGCGAAGGCAGCCACCUGGGUCAACACUGACGCUCAUGUACGAAAGCGUGGGGAGCAAACAGGAUUAGAUACCCUGGUAGUCCACGCCGGAAACGAUGUCUACUAGGAGCUGGGGUCUUCGGACAACUUUUCCAAAGCUAACGCAUUAAGUAGACCGCCUGGG